RNAcentral lists this long non-coding RNA (885 nucleotides) under Rattus norvegicus (Norway rat). Its description in RNAcentral is "long non-coding RNA NONRATT028128". The record is from RNAcentral. Lineage: Eukaryota; Metazoa; Chordata; Mammalia; Rodentia; Muridae.
UCCCCCAGAGGCAUCACUCCUGUCCUGGGGACGGUCACGGAUCCAGUGCAUCUGAAGACUCACUAGACAGAUGACGGUCCUGGUGAGAUUAGGAAACACGCCCGCUCCCCACACAGAAAACGCUAAGCAAAUAGUCCUAAGGGUUCUUUGGCUGCCUGCUGCUACUGCUUGUAGAACGGAGAAAGUAGACAUUAUAAAGAAUUAUUCUCUCAAAUAUCAUCCUUUGAAACAACCCCGAGGACACUUUAGGCAGUGCCACUCGGAUGGAUGCUGGUUUGUAAGCUCCCAUUGCUCUCUAAAGAACACAGAAGCGCAAUGUGGAGCUUACAGCAGUGAACCCCAGUGUGCCCCUGUGCCACCAGCAUCAGCACCGUCAGGGACUUACUAAAAAUACAAAUUCUCCAGCCUUACCCCACACCACCUGAAUCAGAAACUCUGGCUGGUUCCAGCAUCCUGAGGUUUAAUAAGCCCAACAGGUGAGUCUGAUGCACAAUAAAUUCUGAGAGACAAUGGUCCAGUGAAAAGCCUUUACAGCUGUUUUACCCCCUAAAGGACAUGUGAUAUUUCAGUAGCCUCUCAGCCAGUCUUUGAAAAAUACAGACCACAUCCCCACACCUCGCUAGCUAGCUAUAUGCUAGAAAUGGUUUCUCUUAACACUUAAAAAGUGGAAAAGAAUGUACAGCAAAUGUGGGCUUGUUGAGUCAUUUUUCUAGUAGGUAAUCAUGGGAAACUCAAUAGCCAUAGUUCAGGUCCCAUUCUGCCUUUAGUGAGACAGGGCAGCUUCUCGACUGAUGGAAAAUACCACUGAGGUCAGAUAGUUUGCAAUCCCAUUAUAUUUUUUUGAAAUAUUCAAAUAUAUAUAUAUAUAUAUGUAUAUAUAUAUAU